UGAUGUCACUUUUGAAACUGUAAUUUUUUGACAUUUGAAAAGUAAAAACUACGCCAGUAAUAAAAGUGGAACGAUACACGUUUCUACAAAACGCAUUGUCAUUGUAUAAAAAUGGUGAAAACCUGGCAGAGACGAUUCGUAAAACUAGAACAUUUUACGGUUGUCGUGAAACACCUUGUCGGAACGCAAUACAGAAAUUUGGGGGGGCAAAAAUCGAGCUGUUGGUGGGACGUGAUGUGAGGAAUAAAACACAUGCACGUUGCUCUAGAACAAUUGAGAAUUUUACUGCUGUAGCUCAAAGUACUAAAGAAAACCCAGGCUUGUGCAUUCCUCGCCUUGUCUUUGGCUAAUUGGGCUCUUGAAAUUCAUGAAAAUGAUCCGGAAUUUCAUCGAUAAUCAUCUUGACUGAUGAGGGUCAUUUCCACAUCGGAUGGCUAUGUCCAAAGUGAAGAAUAUCGCAACUGGAACUCAGAAAACUCAAGAUUUAUUGUUCAAAAGUCACUUCAUCCUCAGCAUGUUAACUGUUUGGUGUAGUUUAUGGUUCGGCGUGGUCAUUGGAUCUUACUCUUUCGCAAAUGGGGCUGAUGCGCCUGAAUGAGAUGAUAAUGAUCUGUAUGACGUUUACUUUCAACAAAGCGGCACCACGUGCCACACAAGCAACGAAAACAACGAUCUUUAAAGGGAAAAGUUUCCGGACCGUGCUAUUUCUCGAAGAGUUGAUUACAAUUGGCUAUCGACUUUUUUUCUUUGCGGCCACGUGAAAGAAAAGGUCUACGCCAACUGGCGAACGUUGUUUCAAGACCCCAAAGAUGGAAUUCGUGAAGCUAUUGAGUUGAGGGCCUAUAGCAGCCACUUGGCAUUUUGGUGAUGGAAAAUUUCAUAAAAUGUAUACGAUCCUGUUUUCCAUGAUUAAUGGCAUCUUCCAUUUUAUAUUGAAAUAACCAAUGAUCGUUUAUAUCCGAAAAUGUCAUUUUUUUCGAAUAUUAAAAUAACAUCCCUUUUUGGAAAACCCUGUAUUCAUAGUUAUCUUUAGUAUUAGUUGCUCAUAUUUUUUAUAUUUUGCCACUUCUCGUAUCUUUCAACGGAAACGUUUCCAACAAUUAAAAUCUUAUAAAAUAUAAAUGUAGCAUUUUUAAAACUACCGUUAUUACACUAAUUCUCUUUUCUUUUCGCAUUUUUAUUGCUUACGUACGAAAACUACCCAAUCCCAUCCUGCCAACAUAUUUCUAUUCAACCUACAUUUUACAUAUUGGCACGUACAUUUGUAUAUAUGUUAAUGAUGUGGUUACCACUUUCGCACAUAUUCAUUGCUUGUUACAAAAAAAAAAAAAAAAAAA
Long non-coding RNA from Ceratitis capitata (Mediterranean fruit fly), 1337 nucleotides. RefSeq lists it as uncharacterized. The record is from RefSeq and is a predicted model, not a curated record. The transcript has 2 exons. NCBI's taxonomy places the organism in Eukaryota, Metazoa, Arthropoda, Insecta, Diptera, Tephritidae.